This 299-nucleotide RNase P RNA is filed under the name Aeromonas salmonicida. RNAcentral describes it as "partial RNase P RNA component class A". It matches the Rfam family "Bacterial RNase P class A", at positions 71 to 367 of the family's 367-position model. Rfam says of the family: Ribonuclease P (RNase P) is a ubiquitous endoribonuclease, found in archaea, bacteria and eukarya as well as chloroplasts and mitochondria. Its best characterised activity is the generation of mature 5'-ends of tRNAs by cleaving the 5'-leader elements of precursor-tRNAs. Cellular RNase Ps are ribonucleoproteins. The record is from RNAcentral. Lineage: Bacteria; Pseudomonadati; Pseudomonadota; Gammaproteobacteria; Aeromonadales; Aeromonadaceae.
GUGCCAGGUAACGCCUGGGGGGCGUGAGCCCACGACCAGUGCAACAGAGAGCAAACCGCCGAUGGCCCGCAAGGGAUCAGGUAAGGGUGAAAGGGUGCGGUAAGAGCGCACCGCGCGACUGGCAACAGUUCGUGGCACGGUAAACUCCACCCGAAGCAAGACCAAAUAGGCCCCUAUUGGCGCGGCCCGCGUUGGGGGCGGGUAGGUUGCUUGAGCCAGCGAGCGAUUGCUGGCCUAGAGGAAUGAUUGCUGCCCGGGGCAACCCGGUACAGAACCCGGCUUACAGGCCGACUCCGAAC